AGUGGCGCACGGGUGCGUAACGCGUGGGAACCUGCCCUUAGGUUCGGAAUAACUCAGAGAAAUUUGAGCUAAUACCGGAUAAUGUCUUCGGACCAAAGAUUUAUCGCCUUUGGAUGGGCCCGCGUUGGAUUAGCUAGUUGGUAGGGUAAAGGCCUACCAAGGCGACGAUCCAUAGCUGGUCUGAGAGGAUGAUCAGCCACACUGGGACUGAGACACGGCCCAGACUCCUACGGGAGGCAGCAGUGGGGAAUAUUGGACAAUGGGCGAAGGCCUGAUCCAGCAAUGCCGCGUGAGCGAUGAAGGCCUUAGGGUUGUAAAGCUCUUUUACCCGGGAAGAUAAUGACUGUACCGGGAGAAUAAGCUCCGGCUAACUCCGUGCCAGCAGCCGCGGUAAUACGGAGGGAGCUAGCGUUGUUCGGAAUUACUGGGCGUAAAGCGCGCGUAGGCGGCUUUUUAAGUCGGGGGUGAAAUCCCGGGGCUCAACCCCGGAACUGCCCUUGAAACUGGGAAGCUAGAAUCUUGGAGAGGCGAGUGGAAUUCCGAGUGUAGAGGUGAAAUUCGUAGAUAUUCGGAGGAACACCAGUGGCGAAGGCGACUCGCUGGACAAGUAUUGACGCUGAGGUGCGAAAGNGUGGGGAGCAAACAGGAUUAGAUACCCUGGUAGUCCACGCNGUAAACGAUGA
RNAcentral lists this ribosomal RNA (683 nucleotides) under uncultured Porphyrobacter sp. RNAcentral describes it as "bacterial SSU rRNA". It matches the Rfam family "Bacterial small subunit ribosomal RNA", at positions 94 to 812 of the family's 1533-position model. The record is from RNAcentral. Lineage: Bacteria; Pseudomonadati; Pseudomonadota; Alphaproteobacteria; Sphingomonadales; Erythrobacteraceae.